This 646-nucleotide ribosomal RNA is filed under the name Drosophila iri. Its description in RNAcentral is "partial 16S ribosomal RNA". The record is from RNAcentral. Lineage: Eukaryota; Metazoa; Arthropoda; Insecta; Diptera; Drosophilidae.
UUAAAUUUUAUUUAUUAAUUUUAGUUAUUUAUGUUUAUAGUAUUAAAAAUAAUUAUAUAAUAUAAAGUUUUAGUAUUUUUUAAAGAACUAAUAAAUUUAAUAAUAGUUAAAUAGUAUUGUAAAAGAAAAUUGAAAUAAUUGAAAAAUAAUUAUAGUAAAAGAAAAUUUAAUUUAUUGUACCUUGUGUAUCAGUGUUUAUCAAAUAAAAAAUAUUUAUAAAUUAUUUUUCUCGAUUUUAAAAGAGUUAAUAUAAUAUAAAAGUUAAUGUAAUAAAAUUAUUUUAAAUAUUAUAUUAGAAAUGAAAUGUUAUUCGUUUUUAAAGGUAUCUAGUUUUUCAAGAAAUAAAUUUAAUUUAGAAGUUGAUAAAUUAUUUUAUUAUUUUUUUAAUAAACUAAUUAUUAACUUUAAUAUUUUAUGGGAUAAGCUAUAAAAUAAAUUUUUAUAAAUAAUAAAUAAAUUUAUUAAAUAUAUGUUUAGAAAUAGCAAUUAUUUAAAAGUAUGUUAUAAUUUAUUUUAUAAAUUAUAUUAUUUAUUAUAUUUUAAUUAAUUAUUGAAAUAUUUAUUUUAAUUUUAAAAAUAAAGAAAUAAUGAUAAAAUUAGUAUAUUAUUUUGUAAAAAUAUAAUUAUAUGAUAAGUUUAUGUAAAG